RNAcentral lists this ribosomal RNA (773 nucleotides) under uncultured Neocallimastigales. Its description in RNAcentral is "partial large subunit ribosomal RNA". It matches the Rfam family "Eukaryotic large subunit ribosomal RNA", at positions 20 to 649 of the family's 3401-position model. The record is from RNAcentral. Lineage: Eukaryota; Fungi; Neocallimastigomycota; Neocallimastigomycetes; Neocallimastigales.
UACUAGAGUAGCACUCGCAUAUCAAUAAGCGGAGGAAAAGAAACUAACAAGGAUUCCCCUAGUAACGGCGAGUGAAGCGGGAAGAGCUCAAAUUUGAAAUCUUAAAGGGUUUCCCUUUACGAAUUGUAGUUUAAAGAAGUGUUUUCUGUUGAGGUUUUGGUAAAAGUUCUUUGGAAUAGGACAUCAUAGAGGGUGAGAAUCCCGUAUUUGACCUUUACUUUCAACUUUGUGAUACACUUUCAAAGAGUCGGAUUGUUUGGGAAUGCAGUCCAAAAUGGGUGGUAAAUUUCAUCUAAAGCUAAAUAUUGGCGAGAGACCGAUAGCGAACAAGUACCGUGAGGGAAAGAUGAAAAGAACUUUGAAAAGAGAGUUAAACAGUACGUGAAAUUGUCAAAAGGGAAGCGUUUGACACCAGUGUUGUUUUUCUGAAAAUCAAUUAAAGAACUGUUUAUGCUAAGCUGUUUAGACUUUAUCAGCUAUCUGUUUAGUUUUGAGCUUUUCUUUAAUGCACUUUUCAGUUAACAAGUCAACAUCAAUUUCUUUUGCUGUAAAAAGCUUGAGGAAGGUGGCUUGAGAUUCGUCUUAAGUGUUUAUAGCCUCUUGCCUAUGCAGUCGGAGAGAUUGAGGUCUGCAGCGUAGAUCCUUCGGGGCUAAAUGCAUUUGUGCUAAGUUAUAGCAUUUUAUAGACAACUUGUUGACUAUGAUUUGUCUUGUAGCUUACUCGCUUAUGUUAUUUUACCUACGCUUAGGAUGUUGAGUAGCGACAUACGCAC